This 71-nucleotide transfer RNA is filed under the name Amphiprion frenatus (tomato clownfish). RNAcentral describes it as "tRNA-Ser". The record is from RNAcentral. Lineage: Eukaryota; Metazoa; Chordata; Actinopteri; Pomacentridae.
CGAGAAAGGGAGGAAUCGAACCCCCAUAAAUCGGUUUCAAGCCGAUCACAUAACCGCUCUGCCACUUUCUU